UGGGGAAUUUUGGACAAUGGGGGAAACCCUGAUCCAGCCAUCCCGCGUGUGCGAUGAAGGCCUUCGGGUUGUAAAGCACUUUUGGCAGGAAAGAAACGUCAUGGGUUAAUACCCCGUGAAACUGACGGUACCUGCAGAAUAAGCACCGGCUAACUACGUGCCAGCAGCCGCGGUAAUACGUAGGGUGCAAGCGUUAAUCGGAAUUACUGGGCGUAAAGCGUGCGCAGGCGGUUCGGAAAGAAAGAUGUGAAAUCCCAGAGCUCAACUUUGGAACUGCAUUUUUAACUACCGGGCUAGAGUGUGUCAGAGGGGGGUGGAAUUCCGCGUGUAGCAGUGAAAUGCGUAGAUAUGCGGAGGAACACCGAUGGCGAAGGCAGCCUCCUGGGAUAACACUGACGCUCAUGCACGAAGGCGUGGGGAGCAAACAGG
RNAcentral lists this ribosomal RNA (429 nucleotides) under Acidobacteriota bacterium. Its description in RNAcentral is "Acidobacteria bacterium partial 16S ribosomal RNA". It matches the Rfam family "Bacterial small subunit ribosomal RNA", at positions 355 to 776 of the family's 1533-position model. Lineage: Bacteria; Pseudomonadati; Acidobacteriota. The record is from RNAcentral.